This 496-nucleotide ribosomal RNA is filed under the name uncultured bacterium. RNAcentral describes it as "partial 16S ribosomal RNA". It matches the Rfam family "Bacterial small subunit ribosomal RNA", at positions 28 to 507 of the family's 1533-position model. The record is from RNAcentral.
GAUGAACGCUGGCGGCGUGCCUAAUACAUGCAAGUCGAGCGAACGGACGAGAAGCUUGCUUCUCUGAUGUUAGCGGCGGACGGGUGAGUAACACGUGGAUAACCUACCUAUAAGACUGGGAUAACUUCGGGAAACCGGAGCUAAUACCGGAUAAUAUUUUGAACCGCAUGGUUCAAAAGUGAAAGACGGUCUUGCUGUCACUUAUAGAUGGAUCCGCGCUGCAUUAGCUAGUUGGUAAGGUAACGGCUUACCAAGGCAACGAUGCAUAGCCGACCUGAGAGGGUGAUCGGCCACACUGGAACUGAGACACGGUCCAGACUCCUACGGGAGGCAGCAGUAGGGAAUCUUCCGCAAUGGGCGAAAGCCUGACGGAGCAACGCCGCGUGAGUGAUGAAGGUCUUCGGAUCGUAAAACUCUGUUAUUAGGGAAGAACAUAUGUGUAAGUACUGUGCACAUCUUGACGGUACCUAAUCAGAAAGCCACGGCUAACUACGUG